RNAcentral lists this ribosomal RNA (492 nucleotides) under uncultured bacterium. RNAcentral describes it as "partial 16S ribosomal RNA". It matches the Rfam family "Bacterial small subunit ribosomal RNA", at positions 29 to 507 of the family's 1533-position model. The record is from RNAcentral.
AGUGAACGCUGGCGGUAGGCCUAACACAUGCAAGUCGAACGGCAGCACAGUAAGAGCUUGCUCUUACGGGUGGCGAGUGGCGGACGGGUGAGGAAUACAUCGGAAUCUACUUUUUCGUGGGGGAUAACGUAGGGAAACUUACGCUAAUACCGCAUACGACCUACGGGUGAAAGCAGGGGAUCUUCGGACCUUGCGCGAUUGAAUGAGCCGAUGUCGGAUUAGCUAGUUGGCGGGGUAAAGGCCCACCAAGGCGACGAUCCGUAGCUGGUCUGAGAGGAUGAUCAGCCACACUGGAACUGAGACACGGUCCAGACUCCUACGUGAGGCAGCAGUGGGGAAUAUUGGACAAUGGGCGCAAGACUGAUCCAGCCAUACCGCGUGGGUGAAGAAGGCCUUCGGGUUGUAAAGCCCUUUUGUUGGGAAAGAAAAGCAGCAGGUUAAUACCCCGCUGUUCUGACGGUACCCAAAGAAUAAGCACCGGCUAACUUCGUG